AGGGGGAGCCAAGGGGGGGCUGGGAAGGCCACGUGGGCCAACAGGGCUCCUGGCAGGAGGGCGGGACCCCGGGGAGACUGAAGCGUUGGGGGCGGCUAAGCCCUGGGCAACCCGGAUGGCGGGACACUGAGGUCUCCCUAGGCGCCGGGGAGGGCUCCUGGGACCCUCCGGUAGAGCGGAACCGGAAAGGGACCAGGCCAAGGGCCAGGGGUCCAAGGAAGGGGACAGGAAGGCAGCGCCCGCGGAUCCUCACAGAGGGCUGACGAUGGAAUCUCUAACCAGGAGCUGGGGGUCAGGACUCCUGGGUCCUGAAGGGGAAGCUGAAAGGGGGCUCCUCCGGGCCCCCUCUGCCCUGGGCCAUACCAGCCUCGGGGUCCAAGAGCAGCACCCCCAGCUUAUUGGGAAGAUUCUCCAUUGGGGUUUGGAAGGGUCCAGUGGCCAGCCGGUCUCAAGGCCGUUUAGAAUUCUCAGGUGGGCGUCUUAACUGCCACCCGGAGUCUCUGGGCCGGGCCUUCCCUGGACUCUCGGGGAAUGCCUGGACUGUAUGCUACUUCCUAUGGAGCUAAGGGGGGGUUCAGGCCGGGAGCCCCCCCAGGCCCUGAGGGGCAGCCAUCCCCCCUGCGGUGUUGUAAGGGCACUGCUCACACUGGCCUCCCCAACCGUGUCUACUUGGCCAGGCCCGCAGGACAAGGCCUCACUGUAAGCAGCACCAGAGGAGGGCCUGUGGGAGUUUCCAAAAGCAUCUCCCAAGCUCCUGGCCAGGAGCACGUCCUCUGGCCCUCCCCAGCCUCCCUGCAGUCCAGAGGACAAUCUCACCUCCUCCAGGAAGCCCUCCUGAACGCCUCUUGGCUCUCUGCCCUCUCUCUGAUAAGGAGAGGAACGUGAGAGCCGCGGACGUGAUCAGGAUCCCGAGGGUACGGGUUGGCUCCUCAGCCAGGCCGGAGGAGUGUGACCUGUUGAGGGUCGGCAGGAGAACAGAGCCACAGGAAGAAGGAGAAGGCCCCGCCCCUCCAGGGGCAGCGGUCUCUAGCCACGCCCUCUUGCUCUGGUCUCUCUCUAGCCACGCCCCUUCCUCUGCUAUUUCCCCGCCCAGGUUACCCCAGCAACAAAAGCCAGGGAAAGCACCUUCUUGGUCCCGUGAGCUCGGACCUCUGAGGAAUUGGCGUUGGAAUUCCUGGCUCUUGCUCAGUAAACCGAAUGAGGAAGGGAAUCCCUGGGGCCGGGGCCUGUCAGGAGUCCUCGAGGACAUCCCGAGGUUUUAGACACCUGUCAGGGGAAGAGCAGUGUGCCGGCCCCUGCUGGCCACCCUGCCCAGGCGGGUGGGGGGCGUACGCACCAGAGUUCCCUCUAACGAGCCCCAGCAGGAAAAGCUUUCAAAGCGGAGGAGGGAUGGACUGGGCAGGAUCUUGACUUCCUAUUUCCCAGAGGCCUCUGCGCUGCGCCUCGGGAUGACCCUCUCCCUCUUCCCUCCUCCCCCAUCUCCCUGCUGUGUCUCCAGUCUGAGCUUGUGGUCAGAUUUGAACGGAGGCCUUUCUGCCUCUGCCCAGGUCCUGCCGGCUCCCCUGAUCCCCUUUCCAGAUAAGGGAUAACAAUGGGCAGAGUCCAGCCUUCUCCGAAGAAAAUGCGCAGAACCAAACGUUCCGGUUCCCCGACCUUCACCCCCUUCCUCUCCCCACACUAAGUGCUGGGCCCCAGGAGCCUCUUCUUCGUGAGGACAAAUGCACUGGCUGAGAGACGGCAUGACUCCCCGAGAGAACAGUCCAGAGGCGUCCGGGAGGGAGGAGCAGGCAGCACGGCAGGACACAGGACGAUCCCUCCAGGCCGCUGUGUCUGGGCUUCAGACUGACCUUCGGACCCAGUUGGGGAGUUUCUGCCAGAAUGGACCUGAACAGGAUGGGGGGGGGGGGCACGGCAAAUUAGAAUCUGCUCCCCAGAACGCUAAAUCCCAGCUUCCCGUGUUCCGUCUCACGUUAUGUCCUUGGGGUUUGGAGGGAAAGUUUGGGUGUGACCCCUCUCUCUUUUCCCAGGAUUAAUAAAUCUCAUGUAAUACUUGGCGUUAUUGGCGAU
Molecule: long non-coding RNA, 2067 nt
Organism: Monodelphis domestica (gray short-tailed opossum)
Lineage: Eukaryota; Metazoa; Chordata; Mammalia; Didelphimorphia; Didelphidae
Source: Ensembl